GUUAAUUGACAUCCAAAGCAAUCCAAUGAAUCCACAAUCGAAAGUAAUUGAUUUGAAACUCUAAAAACCCAAGGAAAAAUGUGGAAAUCGCCUCUAGAGGCUGCUGGGUUCGAAGAUGAUAAAGUAAAACCCUAGAAAGGGGUUUUUAAACGCAAAAACGUACUGUCGGAUCUGAACAGAGGCGGCGGCGCCGUGACACGGCGGCGCCGUGUGCCCCCUUCGCAGUUUGGGCACGGCGGCCGCCGUCACACGGCGCCCGCCGUCCACUGCAAUGCGCAGCAGUUUUGUUUUGGCCCGUUCUCCCUCGUUUCAAGUCGGAUUUUGGAUCCGUUUUCGCCUACGAACUCGUAUCGAGACGAACUUCGAUUCUUCUUCAAACCAAUCAACUAAAUUCUGACUUUAUUUUUGUCCACAUAUCAAUCAAUUUGAGCACAAAAUCCUGAGACAACAAAAUUAGCACAAAAGCUCAAAUCAUUCAACUCUUAAGUGAAAGAGACCAAAAUAAAAGUCAAUAUAAGACGUAAACACCCACAAAUUCAUCACAAAAUAGGGCUAAACAGAAAGCAAAGAUAGCCAAGCAUCAAUCCACCAGAACUGCUUUCCAGUAAAUGUUGAUUAAGAACCACACCAUAAUUAGGCAUCAGGAAAAAGGAGCGUAUAACAAUAAUUAGUUCAGAGGAAAGAGUUUUUAGGAGAGGGAUAGAAGUCUUAGCUUAUGUUUCUGUUUCUUCGAUGGGCCCAGACCCUUCUUUGUAGAGGUUCCCGACGAAGCCCUCUUCUGGUCGCGGUGGCAAUCUCGACGGCCGAGCACGACCUCCCCUGAACGGUGAUUUGGAAACAUUAUUGCAUGCUGAAUCGCGCGAAGAGAGCAGAGCAGCGACGAGGAAGAGAGCCGAGCAGCGACAAGGAAAGAGGCGGCGGCGCUGGCUGCGCUGCCGAGCAGAGCAGCGGCGGGGGCGAGAGGUGGCGGCGCUGGUCAAGAAAGAGUGAGAGGAUCGCGAUUGGAGAUGUUGGCGAGGAACCCUGAAUUAAUCCCUAACUCCGAUUUUGCAAUCGAAGGGUAUUCUGAUGGGAAUUUGGGGAUUUUCGUUGGAAUCUAAGAAUGAUCCGAUCUGGAUCUAGAAGACAGAACGGCGGUAAGAAUUUGGGUGAUUGUGGAUUGAGAAAUGAUGCUUUGGUGGCGGUAGUAAGGAUCCGAUUCAGAUCUGAGAGAGAGAAAUGAGCGGCGGUGAAUGCCGCCGAAAAUUGAAGGGAGACCGCCGUCCUUUUCUCCGGAAGCUCCAAACAUUCAAGAGGAGAUGGUUUCUUCGAUGAACAGUGACUGGAAUAGUGAUGAUGGAUCUGAUGAACAGUACCGAACAGUGAUUAACGGUGAUGAACAGUGACCGGAAAACAAUGAAUCUCACGCCUUAGCUCAUUUUCCCACAGACGGCGCCAGUUGGUGAAACGAGAAACCAACACCUAAACUAGAAAGCUAUAAACGACACCGGAUUUACGUGGUUCGGUCGAGAAGACCUACGUCCACGGGGGUUUUGGAGGUUUUUCCACUAUAAUCGAGAGAGUCUUUACAGUUUACAAGUUGUGGCUAUAAAAAUGAAUAUCCC
Molecule: long non-coding RNA, 1604 nt
Filed under: Salvia miltiorrhiza (redroot sage)
Lineage: Eukaryota; Viridiplantae; Streptophyta; Magnoliopsida; Lamiales; Lamiaceae
Description: long non-coding RNA (SMIL_LNC011883)
Source: RNAcentral